UGAAGAGGACACUGUAGAGUGAGCCUGCUCGGAACUGGUCCUGCAUGCACCUGGGCAGGGGCAGAGUUGCAUCUCUGCCUCGGCAAUGCCCUUCCUCAGGUCAUUCAGCAAACCUGCGCUGAAGCACCAAGGCGGACGCUGAGCCACAGGACUCCCCAGGCUGGAAAGCCGCGGGUGUUCCCAGGACCAGAGCAACUCCCAGGAAGCUGGGCUGCAGAGCGGCUGCCCCACCGGUCCAGCGGUGCUCGAGGCCGGGCAGAGGCUCUUCCUGCUCCCCUGGCUCCUGCCCUCCCUGCAGGGUGAAGCGGGCAGCAGGUGUGGCGAAUGUACAGAGGGGCUAUUACCGCUUUACAGGACAGCAGUGAGUAAUUCCAGCUGACGGCCAUGCCUUGCUGUUUUAAGGAAGAGUUCUAUUUUUAUGGAAAACACAUAAUUGAGUGAAAAAGCAGGCUAUUCUCUGAGUCAGGCGGCCACGCCUCUGGAAAGUCUCGCCGCCUGGCCAGGAGGCCAGAGCCUUCGCUCAGCACAGGCACCCACAGCGGGCGCCCCACCCUCGGCCACAACGAGACGCACUCCGAGAUAGAACGCAGGGCUCAACACCUGUGCCCCACGUCCCUUCUUCUAGCCAUUGGCCUUGAACUUCUCCGAGACUCAAGUUUCCUAUUUGUAAAAUGGGAAGAAAAACAGCUCUUGGCCCUGAGACUGCUGUGUAGAAAUAAAUGCACAGGCCUAUAAUCCCAGUCACGUGGGAGGCAGAGACAGGAAGAUCGCAAGUCCAGGCCAGUCAGGGCAGUGUAGUAAGACAUUGCCUUAAAGUUUUAUAAAAGGGCUGGGGGUGUAGUUCCCAGGGGAAGUGCUUGCUUUAAAUGGGUUCAGUUCCCUGGGGUGGGGUGGGGGAGCCCGGCGGAGGCUGGCACGUCACAAAGGGAUCCUCCCAUGUCUGCCCUGCCAUCCUUAUGUACCCGGCUUUUACUGUGUGCAGAUUUCACUUUGCUGCCUUUCCUCAUCUUUAAAAUGGGAAGAAGAGCAAUGGUUCCUGUGCCUCCUGGGUGGCUGAGGGGAUGUGGGGUCACUGCUUACGGCAGGGCCCGCACAGGCCAGUGCUGAGUGGCCACUGUGCUUGGCCAAGUUCCAGGCUUCCAGCCUGCCAGGCUGUCCAGCUGUCCGUUGGCACGGGUUCUAGUCUCUGCUUGGCCACUGUCGGCCCAGCUUCCUUAUACUGUAACAGCAGUGCUGUAAAGACCAACAAACACAAGCUGGGUCUGGUGGCACACACCUGUAAUCUCAGCACUGUAGGAGGCUGAGGCAGGAGGACCUGAAGUUUGAGUUCAGCCCGGGCAACUUAAGAGACCUAUCAGGACCCUCUCUCAAAA
This is a long non-coding RNA of Chinchilla lanigera (long-tailed chinchilla), 1373 nucleotides long. RefSeq lists it as uncharacterized. The record is from RefSeq and is a predicted model, not a curated record. NCBI's taxonomy places the organism in Eukaryota, Metazoa, Chordata, Mammalia, Rodentia, Chinchillidae. The transcript is spliced from 2 exons.